This 253-nucleotide ribosomal RNA is filed under the name uncultured bacterium. RNAcentral's name for it is "partial 16S ribosomal RNA". It matches the Rfam family "Bacterial small subunit ribosomal RNA", at positions 524 to 776 of the family's 1533-position model. The record is from RNAcentral.
UACGAGGGGUGCAAGCGUUGCUCGGAAUUAUUGGGCGUAAAGGGUAGGUAGGUGGUCUCAUUUGUCUGGGGUGAAAGCCUUGAGCUUAACUCAAGAAGUGCCCCGGAAACGGUGAGACUGGAGUCCCGGAGAGGGUCGUGGAAUUCCCGGUGUAGCGGUGAAAUGCGUAGAGAUCGGGAGGAACACCAGAGGCGAAGGCGGCGACCUGGACGGGCACUGACACUCAAGCACGAAAGCGUGGGGAGCAAACAGG